AGUGAACGCUGGCGGUAGGCCUAACACAUGCAGUUCCACCGCCACACAGUUAGAGGUUUGCCUUUCGGGGGGCGAAUUGCCGACCGGUGGGGGAUACAUCCGGAUCUUCUUUUUCGUUGGGGGUUACGUUAGGGAAAUUUAGCUUAUAACCCCUACCACCUUCGGGUUGAAACCAGGGUAUUUCGGACCUUUCCCCGUUUGAAUGACCGAUGUCGGAUUUGGUAGUUGGCGGGGUAAAGGCCCACCAAGGCGACGAUCCGUAGCUGGUCUGAGAGGAUGAUCAGCCAAACGGGAACUGAGACACGGUCCAGACUCCUACGGGAGGCAGCAGUGGGGAAUAUUGGACAAUGGGCGCAAGCCUGAUCCAGCCAUACCGCGUGGGUGAAGAAGGCCUUCGGGUUGUAAAGCCCUUUUGUUGGGAAAGAAAAGCAGCAGGUUAAUACCCCGCUGUUCUGACGGUACCCAAAGAAUAAGCACCGGCUAACUUCGUG
RNAcentral lists this ribosomal RNA (491 nucleotides) under uncultured bacterium. RNAcentral's name for it is "partial 16S ribosomal RNA". It matches the Rfam family "Bacterial small subunit ribosomal RNA", at positions 29 to 507 of the family's 1533-position model. The record is from RNAcentral.